UGGGGGAUAACGCUCGGAAACGGACGCUAAUACCGCAUACGCUCCUACGGGAGAAAGCAGGGGACCUUCGGGCCUUGCGCUAUCAGAUGAGCCUAGGUCGGAUUAGCUAGUUGGUGAGGUAAUGGCUCACCAAGGCGACGAUCCGUAACUGGUCUGAGAGGAUGAUCAGUCACACUGGAACUGAGACACGGUCCAGACUCCUACGGGAGGCAGCAGUGGGGAAUAUUGGACAAUGGGCGAAAGCCUGAUCCAGCCAUGCCGCGUGUGUGAAGAAGGUCUUCGGAUUGUAAAGCACUUUAAGUUGGGAGGAAGGGCAGUUACCUAAUACGUGAUUGUUUUGACGUUACCGACAGAAUAAGCACCGGCUAACUCUGUGCCAGCAGCCGCGGUAAUACAGAGGGUGCAAGCGUUAAUCGGAAUUACUGGGCGUAAAGCGCGCGUAGGUGGUUCGUUAAGUUGGAUGUGAAAUCCCCGGGCUCAACCUGGGAACUGCAUUCAAAACUGUCGAGCUAGAGUAUGGUAGAGGGUGGUGGAAUUUCCUGUGUAGCGGUGAAAUGCGUA
This 561-nucleotide ribosomal RNA is filed under the name Pseudomonas sp. R5-2. RNAcentral describes it as "bacterial SSU rRNA". It matches the Rfam family "Bacterial small subunit ribosomal RNA", at positions 137 to 692 of the family's 1533-position model. Lineage: Bacteria; Pseudomonadati; Pseudomonadota; Gammaproteobacteria; Pseudomonadales; Pseudomonadaceae. The record is from RNAcentral.